Molecule: ribosomal RNA, 1149 nt
Filed under: Tetra spicrostrae
Lineage: Eukaryota; Metazoa; Arthropoda; Arachnida; Trombidiformes; Eriophyidae
Description: SSU rRNA
Rfam family: Eukaryotic small subunit ribosomal RNA
Source: RNAcentral
UGUAAAGUUCAAGCUCCGAUUGUGAGGGCGAAACCGCGAAUGGCUCAUUAAAUCAGUCAUGAUCUACUUGAUUGUUUAAAGUUUAGAUGGAUAACUGUGGUAAUUCUAGAGCUAAUACAUGCGUGAAGGGGGCGACUCCGCGAGGAGAAGCUCUGCGUUUAUUAGACUAAGACCGGCGGGUUCCGCAAGGGGCUCUCGCUUUGGUGGUGACUCUGAGUAAAUAAUGGGUGCAAGCCCAUGUUGCCGACCUGGCAUCCCAAACAGUCCUCGGACUGGCCAGGCGAAUCAAUCGAGUGUCUGCUCUAUCAACUGUGGAUGGUAGGGUAAUUGCCUACCAUGGUGGUGACGGGUAACGGGGAGUUAGGGCUCGACUCCGGAGAACAAGCCUGAGAAACGGCUAGUAGGACUAAGGUCUGCAGCAGGCGCGAAACUUACACAAUGCUAGAUUUCGUAAAUAGCGAUGUAGUGAAGAAAAAUAACGAUGUACUUGUAUUUAAACAUACUUGUACAAUUGGAAUGAGACGACUCUAAACCAGUCAGUCGAGUAACAAAUGGAGGGCAAGUCUGGUGCCAGCAGCCGCGGUAAUUCCAGCUCCAUUAGCAUACAUUAAAGUUGUUGCGGUUAAAAAGCUCGUAGUUGAAUUUUGGACGGGCUCUCGUGGGUUGCGGUCGUUAAAGGUUGGCUCGGCGUCUUCGGACCCUUCCAGCUGGCCGUAGUCUCACUUGGAGCCCGUUGUUUCGUCACUUAAUCGAGUGCGAAGCGGGUCGGCUUAGACGGGCACUCGUGCCCGCUUGGACGACAUGUUUACCUUGAGAAAAUUAGAGUGCUCAGAGCAGGCAGUUGGGGUGUAAAAGCCCCUUUAUGCUUGAAUAAUGUUGCAUGGAAUAAUAGAAUACGGCCUCGGUUCUAUUCUGUUGGUCUUAUAGAACAACAAACAAGUUGGUUUGGGCACUAAACGGCGCGCUGGACGGCGUGGCGUUCGCGAGUCCUUGUUGCCUGGGGCCUAAAAAUCUCAGCGCCUUGGCGAGCGAGCGUCGCUUAGCGCCCCCAGCGUUGUCAGCCCUCAACCAACUGAGGCAAUGGUUAAAAGAAAUAGUCGCGGCGGCAUCAGUACUGCAUCGUGAGAGGUGAAAUUCUUAGACCGAUGC